GUUGCAGUUAAAAGCUCGUAGUUGACCUUGGGUCUGGCUGGCCGGUCCGCCUCACCGCGAGUACUGGUCCGGCUGGACCUUUCCUUCUGGGGAACCUCAUGGCCUUCACUGGCUGUGGGGGGAACCAGGACUUUUACUGUGAAAAAAUUAGAGUGUUCAAAGCAGGCCUUUGCUCGAAUACAUUAGCAUGGAAUAAUAGAAUAGGACGUGUGGUUCUAUUUUGUUGGUUUCUAGGACCGCCGUAAUGAUUAAUAGGGAUAGUCGGGGGCGUCAGUAUUCAGCUGUCAGAGGUGAAAUUCUUGGAUUUGCUGAAGACUAACUACUGCGAAAGCAUUCGCCAAGGAUGUUUUCAUUAAUCAGGGAACGAAAGUUAGGGGAUCGAAGACGAUCAGAUACCGUCGUAGUCUUAACCAUAAACUAUGCCGACUAGGGAUCGGACGGGAUUCUAUGAUGACCCGUUCGGCACCUUACGAGAAAUCAAAGUUUUUGGGUUCUGGGGGGAGUAUGGUCGCAAGGCUGAAACUUAAAGAAAUUGACGGAAGGGCACCACAAGGCGUGGAGCCUGCGGCUUAAUUUGACUCAACACGGGGAAACUCACCAGGUCCAGACAAAAUAAGGAUUGACAGAUUGAGAGCUCUUUCUUGAUCUUUUGGAUGGUGGUGCAUGGCCGUUCUUAGUUGGUGGAGUGAUUUGUCUGCUUAAUUGCGAUAACGAACGAGACCUCGGCUCUUAAAUAGCCCGGUCCGCAUUUGCGGCCGCUGGCUUCUUAGGGGGACUAUCGGCUCAGCCGAUGGAGUGCGCGCAUAACAGUCUGUGAUGCCCUUAGAUGUCUGGGCCGCACGCGCGCUACACUGAC
Molecule: ribosomal RNA, 856 nt
Filed under: uncultured fungus
Lineage: Eukaryota; Fungi
Description: SSU rRNA
Rfam family: Eukaryotic small subunit ribosomal RNA
Source: RNAcentral